Molecule: ribosomal RNA, 497 nt
Filed under: uncultured bacterium
Lineage: Bacteria
Description: partial 16S ribosomal RNA
Rfam family: Bacterial small subunit ribosomal RNA
Source: RNAcentral
GAUGAACGCUGGCGGCGUGCCUAAUACAUGCAAGUCGAGCGAACAGAUGAGGAGCUUGCUCCUCUGACGUUAGCGGCGGACGGGUGAGUAACACGUGGAUAACCUACCUAUAAGACUGGGAUAACUUCGGGAAACCGGAGCUAAUACCGGAUAAUAUAUUGAACCGCAUGGUUCAAUAGUGAAAGACGGUUUUGCUGUCACUUAUAGAUGGAUCCGCGCCGCAUUAGCUAGUUGGUAAGGUAACGGCUUACCAAGGCGACGAUGCGUAGCCGGCCUGAGAGGGUGAUCGGCCACACUGGAACUGAGACACGGUCCAGACUCCUACGGGAGGCAGCAGUAGGGAAUCUUCCGCAAUGGGCGAAAGCCUGACGGAGCAACGCCGCGUGAGUGAUGAAGGUCUUCGGAUCGUAAAACUCUGUUAUUAGGGAAGAACAAAUGUGUAAGUAACUAUGCACGUCUUGACGGUACCUAAUCAGAAAGCCACGGCUAACUACGUG